RNAcentral lists this ribosomal RNA (502 nucleotides) under uncultured bacterium. Its description in RNAcentral is "partial 16S ribosomal RNA". It matches the Rfam family "Bacterial small subunit ribosomal RNA", at positions 28 to 523 of the family's 1533-position model. The record is from RNAcentral.
GAUGAACGCUAGCGGCAGGUCUAACACAUGCAAGUCGAGGGGCAGCACAGAAACAGCAAUGUUUUGGUGGCGACCGGCGGACGGGUGCGUAACGCGUAUGCAGCCUACCUUUAACAGGGGGAUAACGGAGAGAAAUUUCCACUAAUACCCCAUUACAUCGAUCAAGGCAUCUUGAUUGGUUGAAAACUCCGGUGGUUAAAGAUGGGCAUGCGUUGUAUUAGGUAGUUGGUGUGGUAAUGGCACACCAAGCCUACGAUACAUAGGGGGACUGAGAGGUUAGCCCCCCACACUGGUACUGAGACACGGACCAGACUCCUACGGGAGGCAGCAGUGGGGAAUAUUGGUCAAUGGGGGCAACCCUGAACCAGCCAUGCCGCGUGCAGGAAGACGGCUCUAUGAGUUGUAAACUGCUUUUAAACAGGGAUAAAGCACAGUAUGUAUACUGUGUUGAAGGUACUGUAAGAAUAAGGAUCGGCUAACUCCGUGCCAGCCGCCGCAGUAA